AUAUACAGCCAUAGCACCCUGAGAAUGCCCGAUCUCGGAAGCUAAGCAGGGUCAGGCCCGGUCAGUACUUGGAUGGGAGACCAGUUGGGAAUCCCGGGUGCUGUGGGCU
This 109-nucleotide ribosomal RNA is filed under the name Patagioenas fasciata monilis. Lineage: Eukaryota; Metazoa; Chordata; Aves; Columbiformes; Columbidae. The record is from RNAcentral.